CCUACGGGCGGCAGCAGUGAGGAAUAUUGGUCAAUGGGCGCGAGCCUGAACCAGCCAAGUAGCGUGAAGGAUGACUGCCCUACGGGUUGUAAACUUCUUUUAUAAAGGAAUAAAGUGAGGCACGUGUGCCUUUUUGCAUGUACUUUAUGAAUAAGGACCGGCUAACUCCGUGCCAGCAGCCGCGGUAAUACGGAGGAUCCGAGCGUUAUCCGGAUUUAUUGGGUUUAAAGGGAGCGUAGAUGGGUUUUUAAGUGAGUUGUGAAAGGUUGCGGCUCAACCGUAAAAUUGCAAUGGAUACUGGCGGUCUUGAGUACAGUAGAGGUAGGCGGAAUUCGUGGUGUAGCGGUGAAAUGCUUAGAUAUCACGAAGAACUCCGAUUGCGAAGGCAGCUUACUAAACUGCCACUGACGUUGAUGCUCGAAGGUGUGGGUAUCAAACAGGAUUAGAUACCCCGGUAGUC
RNAcentral lists this ribosomal RNA (460 nucleotides) under uncultured bacterium. RNAcentral describes it as "partial 16S ribosomal RNA". It matches the Rfam family "Bacterial small subunit ribosomal RNA", at positions 338 to 795 of the family's 1533-position model. The record is from RNAcentral.